This 670-nucleotide long non-coding RNA is filed under the name Homo sapiens (human). Its description in RNAcentral is "family with sequence similarity 106 member A". The record is from RNAcentral. Lineage: Eukaryota; Metazoa; Chordata; Mammalia; Primates; Hominidae.
ACUAGGAUUGCAAGCUCUGUUUUUUUCUGCUUUCUGUUUGCUUGGUAAAUUUUCCUCCAUCCCUUUAUUUUUAGCCUAUGUGUUUCUUUGUGUGUGAGAUGGGUCUCUUGAAUACAGCAUACUGAUGGGUCUUGGUUCUUUAUCUAGCUUGCCAUUCUGUGUCUUUCAUUGGAAAACACAUUGAGAUUUAAGAAAGAUCAUCUUCAAGCUCUGAGAUUCUUUUCUUGGCCUAUUCUGCUGUUAAUAAUUGUGAUUUCAUUGUGAAGUUCACUCAGCUCUAACAGGUGAACAAAUAGAAGCUGAGGGUGAAGGACCUACAGCUGUCACCUUCAUCUCUUCUCAACACUGCCAGCUGUCCCCUUGGAUCUCCCAGACAGACAACAGGGUUGUAGAUGAGCAUGAGAGUGUGGAGCAGAGUUGGCGAGUGCAAGUCGAGCCCAUCAACCUGGACAGCUGUCUCCGUGCUUUCACCAGUGAGGAAGAGCUAGGGGAAGAUGAGAUAUACUACUGUUCCAAGUGUAAGACCCACUGCUUUAGCAACAAAGAAGCUGGAUCUCUGGAGGCUUCCACCCUUCCUGAUUAUUCACCUUAAGCGAUUUCAAUUUGUAAAUGAUCAGUGGAUAAAAUCACAGAAAAUUGUCAAAUUUCCUCGGGAAAGUUUUGAUCCGAG